This 254-nucleotide ribosomal RNA is filed under the name uncultured bacterium. RNAcentral describes it as "partial 16S ribosomal RNA". It matches the Rfam family "Bacterial small subunit ribosomal RNA", at positions 524 to 777 of the family's 1533-position model. The record is from RNAcentral.
UACAGAGGUGGCAAGCGUUGUUCGGAAUUACUGGGCGUAAAGGGCGCGUAGGCGGUUGGUCAAGUCAGGGGUGAAAUCCUGGAGCUCAACUCCAGAACUGCCUUUGAUACUGGCGAUCUUGAGUCCGGGAGAGGUGAGUGGAACUGCGAGUGUAGAGGUGAAAUUCGUAGAUAUUCGCAAGAACACCAGUGGCGAAGGCGGCUCACUGGCCCGGUACUGACGCUGAGGUGCGAAAGCGUGGGGAGCAAACAGGG